Molecule: long non-coding RNA, 737 nt
Organism: Pseudopipra pipra
Lineage: Eukaryota; Metazoa; Chordata; Aves; Passeriformes; Pipridae
Exons: 2
Source: RefSeq, a predicted model, not a curated record
UUCAGUACACAUGUGUACUCAGAGCUACCACCAAUGAUUUCAGCAAUAUUUCAAUUUUAACUGUGCAUUUGUGAGGAAAGAAGAGGAUGUUCUUUUGGCUCUGAAUCUUCCAAGUCUACGCAGAGCUUUGGAUCUCUUGGCAGGAAGAUGUGCAUUUUUCAGGGGUCACAUAUUGAAAUUGUCAGUAGAAAAUCUGCCCUCUAAAACAAGAAAUUAAAAAAAGUUUUGGGGUUUUUAAAAAGUUUUUUUCUUUAUAAAUAGAAGGAAAGUGCAGGCUUCAGAGCUUGAGAACCGAGAUCAGACACACACUAGGAAGCAUGGCCUUUUCAGUUAUUUAUUGGGUUGCAUUUCUCAUUUGUAGUGCUUGAUGGUUGAUCUUUAUGAACUCCUUCCUCUCCUCCCACUGUCUUUCUUCAUCUGCCCUUUAUACAGCUUGAAUACUUGGGAGAGCAGCUGGAUUAACAUCUCUAGAGAUCGUAGGGAGAAAUGAACAUGUGCGUUUGAUGGCUCCAGCAGCUGAGAGUCUGAUGCAAACUCCACUGAAAGUCAUGGAAGGAAAGAAAGAAUCAAAGUGUGAACAUGAACCAACAGUGAGGGAAACAAAGACAAUAAGCUUGAUUGUGGGUCUGCCUGCAGCCCAGAACCCCACCCUGGGAAAAAGUCUAACAGCAAAACUCUCUUCAAUGAGACCAAAAGUUGUAACCUCCAAUGGUUCAAUUUGAAAAAUGUAAUCUAAA